RNAcentral lists this small RNA (660 nucleotides) under Oryza sativa Japonica Group (Japanese rice). Its description in RNAcentral is "sRNA OsWD40-37". The record is from RNAcentral. Lineage: Eukaryota; Viridiplantae; Streptophyta; Magnoliopsida; Poales; Poaceae.
AUUCGAAAAGGCACUGUUCAGCGGAACAAGAUAAAAUCUUCUGUGGGUGGUUAGUGGUGUAGCUAGAAACAUCAACAAGAGCUUGCUGCUACAUGUUUUGAGCAACAAAAGCCCUUCAAUCCAGUGCUUGGAGAAAGCAUGAGAGGAUAUUUGUUCAAGUCAUAAGCUUGGUUUCUCUGGCAUUUGCCCAUUCGGCAAUGUUCAUUAGUAUACUACAGAAGCCCUCAUAUCACUGGUGUUAUCAGCAGUAAAUGUAAGAGAGAACAGUUUGUUACUCUUGUAUACCUGUACAUACAUAUCAUAUGGAGGAGAUAGAUUCAAACAGGAGUGAGAGCUGAUGAUAAUCCACAAUUAUAUGAUGCAAACUAGUGGUACAAUAUGUUUUUCAUUUGAUUCAGGACAAAAAACUUAAAUACGAAUAUCCUCACUUCAUAGACGCUUCCGAUGCAUCAUAGUUUUGCAUUGGUGCUCGACCGCUAGUUGCUCACGUUAGGGCAUUUGAGUGUAACAUAAUGUCUCUCCGGUGUUGUUACUAGGUCGGCUGGGUGAGCAAAAUUCUUUCGCGAUAGGUGCGUAUUAGAUGCUAGUGCAGUGUAAUUAAGAACUGAACAUUGUACAUGGAAGCUCAUGUUCCAAGUGAUAGUAAAAUAAAAGGCACGC